UAUUAUUAUCAUCACAUAAAACAGCUUAAGAAGUACAGUCUUGGGACUGUACCUUUCGUCAUGCAUGAUGUGAGGGGUCUAGAAGUUGGAGAUACGAAAGGGGUGCACACUAAAGACAUCAUCAACGCUUUAAAAGGCCACAUAGCUGACAACUACGCAGUAAGAUAUACACACACAAACACACACAUACACAUGCACACACACACAGAAACCACAGAAACACACAAACACACACUAAACUAUUUAAAACCAAAAUAAAGUCAAUCCUAGCUUCUUCAUGAUAUUUCCACAUUUUUGUCUCUUAUGUAUAGUUUAACCCUGUAGAUCCAAUAUUUACUACAAACAGAUACUACAUCCACAACCCCACUCUGAAUGACCGGAUGCACUGUCUAGUGAGUGUGAUUCCUGCAGACAGAAUUUCCAUGAUGGAGGAUGAAGUCAUCCAGAAAAUGAAGGAGAUCAAAGCAGCAGCGAGUACAUUAGGGAUUCCUCAAGUGCUGUUCAUGACAAGAGUGGACCAAACGUGCAGGCUGACACAGCAGGACAUGGGUAAGAUCUACCAAAGCAAGAAGAUCAAGGAUAAGGUCAGUCACACUCGUACUAGCCUGUACUUUCAGUCCAUAAUAAUAGAAACUGCUAUGAAAUAUGUAACAGAUAAAGUAAUAUAAUUAUGUGUGUCCAGAUGACGGAGUGCAGUAACAAGCUGGAUGUUCCAUUGAGCUGCAUCUUCCCUGUGAAGAACUACAGUGAGGAGACCAAGUUCGAUGAGAAGCUGAACUGCCUGAUGCUGGAAGCCCUCACUCAUAUUGUUAAUGCAGCUAAUGACUACGUGAAAAGAUCAAAUGAGGAGAAUAAUAUGGAUUGAGUUUUAUUUAUGACUGUUAGCGGGGUGUAAGAUAGCAAUGAGGGAUGCUGUUUGUAAAAUAGAGCCCUAUAAUAAUAGGGCUACCUGUAUAAUUAGAGAAAAAAAUAUAUAUAUUUUUUAUUUUGAGUGCGCCUUAUAGUGCCAAAAAAUACGAUUUGACAUUUUCUCAGCUGAUAUCUAGGCUGCUGGUUUUGUUUAUUUGUGUAAAAUUAACAUAUAAAAGGCACUGUUGCAAUUCUCUGAUCCUGCCCGUACACACUAACAGGGUUGUACAUUUUUUUAUUAAAUUGAUAAUGACCACUGAAUUAAAAUGUAUUCCUUAAAUUUGAAAUUUGUAUUGGGAUUGUGAACAGGAAGUGGAAUUGCAAUUCUAAUUUAAAUUGUAGGAGGUAGAAUUGGA
Molecule: long non-coding RNA, 1265 nt
Filed under: Astyanax mexicanus (Mexican tetra)
Lineage: Eukaryota; Metazoa; Chordata; Actinopteri; Characiformes; Acestrorhamphidae
Description: lncRNA (ENSAMXG00005011627.1)
Source: RNAcentral